ACUCAACAGUUAACAAUUAAAAGGGGUGAGUCAUUAUUGUAAUAGCAAACCGUCUUUGAGCGGAUCCUUGAUCAAUAAGUUAGCCCUAAUCCUUACAUUAGAGGAGUUU
This 109-nucleotide small RNA is filed under the name Psychroflexus sp. Its description in RNAcentral is "6S RNA". It matches the Rfam family "6S-Flavo RNA". Lineage: Bacteria; Pseudomonadati; Bacteroidota; Flavobacteriia; Flavobacteriales; Flavobacteriaceae. The record is from RNAcentral.